UAAUAUAAUUGUGAAUUUACAGAGCUUAUAGGUGUAAAAGACCUAUAAACCAGCAACAACACAAUUCAUAAUUCAACGUCAUGUGCAGCAAAAGAAAUGCUGCUCAACCAGUUUACCUCAAGUAGAUCAGAUAAAAAAAACAAAGACAAACAAACAUUGAGGAUUGGUAGCCACGUUCAUGAACCAUUGUUCUCCUAAUUACUGACUAAUUUCCAUCAUACGUGCACCUGAUGUCAUAGUACCUGCUCUGGCUGGAUAUAAAGCUUCUGCUUUAGACCACUAAACAUUACCAGUCAACCAGCAAAGAGAAAGGAUCAGAGAGCAUCACAAAAUCACAAAGGGAACUCCUUGGACAAAGCCUGAAAAAAAUAUCCAGGAGAGAAUGAUGAUGAAGAAUUUAUUGGUGCUGUUUCUUGUUGCUGGCAUAGCCACAACAAUGACGACUGCUGCUCCAACAACUGCUGUGCCAACCACCACCACUACUGCUUCAACAAUAACCAGUGCUGUUCCAAC
This is a long non-coding RNA of Fundulus heteroclitus (mummichog), 513 nucleotides long. RefSeq lists it as uncharacterized. NCBI's taxonomy places the organism in Eukaryota, Metazoa, Chordata, Actinopteri, Cyprinodontiformes, Fundulidae. The record is from RefSeq and is a predicted model, not a curated record. The transcript is spliced from 3 exons.